This 253-nucleotide ribosomal RNA is filed under the name uncultured bacterium. RNAcentral describes it as "partial 16S ribosomal RNA". It matches the Rfam family "Bacterial small subunit ribosomal RNA", at positions 524 to 776 of the family's 1533-position model. The record is from RNAcentral.
UACAGAGGGUGCGAGCGUUAAUCGGAAUUACUGGGCGUAAAGCGUGCGUAGACGGCUAUCUAAGUCGGGUGUGAAAGCCCCGGGCUCAACCUGGGAAUUGCAUUCGAGACUGAAUAGCUAGGGUACGGUAGAGGGAAGCGGAAUUUCCGGUGUAGCGGUGAAAUGCGUAGAUAUCGGAAGGAACAUCAGUGGCGAAGGCGACUUACUGGACUGUAACUGACGCUGAGGCAUGAAAGCGUGGGGAGCAAACAGG